Molecule: long non-coding RNA, 1464 nt
Organism: Myotis davidii
Lineage: Eukaryota; Metazoa; Chordata; Mammalia; Chiroptera; Vespertilionidae
Exons: 2
Source: RefSeq, a predicted model, not a curated record
GGCUUCGGGACCCGGUGGCCUUCCCCAGAGUAGGGACUCAGACCAGGCCUGUCGUUUCGGUGGGCACAGAGAUGAGGGUGAAGGAGACAGCUGUGGUGCAAUGGGGAGAACACAGGGUGUCUCUCGCCAAGCCAGAUCCCCUCCUGGCUGUCCCGAGGCCAGUGCAGGGCGAGGGGACAGCAGCAUAGGGUCCUCGCUGUGGGGUGAGCGGAACCCUGAGAAGCUGGGCCGACUCUCCUAGAUGGAUGUGGGGGAGCGACCUGCUGAGGUACCAGCUGAUGGCCCUGCCCAGUGCCUCCCUACCCCUGUGCCACGGCCGGCUGGGGUUCCUGGGGAUGGGAUUUGCUGCCUGUCACAAAUCACAUUGCCAGGGAUUUCCAAUCGACCCUGAGCCCAAUCUCCGGGGCUGUCACCAUCACCAGCAUCAGCACUGCCACCACCACCACCAAGGACGCUGCCAGGGGAUGAGGUGGCAGAGAGGCCCUUGCUGCCUGCGUCUGGCCUGGGCAGCAGGGCUUAGCUGCUUGUGAGCAGGGUCUGCACCAAGUCGUGUUCACAGUGGCUAAGUUCCGCCCCCCGGAGCCCUCAUCUCCUCCAGCUCUGCUGCCUCUCCCGGCCUGUGCUGCCGCCUGGCUUCCCUGGGCUCUGCCUCCCGUGCCUACUGAGCUGAAACACAGUUGAUUUGUACAGACUGGCUCAGUGCAGCAGGAACAGGAGUCAAGCCCCCUAGGAGCCUGUGGCCCCCGCCUUCCCUGGAUGGGCUGAUGCCCGGGGGAAGAGAGGAGGACCCAGAUCUACAGUUGUGUCUGGGGAGGGACUUGGGGAGGGUGGGGACGGGAUGGGGUGGGUGGACUCAGCGCCUGCUCCAGGCCCCCUCCCCCAACUCUGCUCUUGGAGACCCCCACAGUCCUCCCUCCAGCUGGGCUGUGUUCCCAAGGAGGACAGUGGGUGGCCCUUCCAUGAAAAAGGGAAGCCAGCUGUGUCUCCGCCUGGGUGACCCUCUGGGCCUGGAGCCUUGGCCCCUCCUCUCCCAAGCCUGGUGGGGGCACGGGCUGGGCCACACCUUCCCAGCAGCCAGUUACCCAAGAGGAAACUGCCGUGGGCCCUCAGACCGUUAAAUGCCAACUCCAGACUUCCGGAACCAGACUGGCCUGACGCGAACGUGCCUGACCCCUUCCACCUGGGUUCUGCAGCUUCCUGUCUUGAGGGAGGCGCCAUGACACCCACUGGCACACAAGGUGGGCAUGAGGCCCCUGUGGAGGACUGGAAGGACACGAGCAGGCCUGCUCAGUCCUGGGGUGGCCCCAGAGCAUGGAAGAGCAGCGUGAAGCUCCAGGGUGUCAGGCUGGCCCAGGGUGCCCCUUCCCCACCUCUGCCAGGGGCAGACACAGGCUUGGGGCGGUCUGUGCUGUGUGUUGUGUUUAGCGUCCAAUUAAAUAAAACCUGCCCCGCCUUAUUCCUGAA